This 464-nucleotide ribosomal RNA is filed under the name uncultured bacterium. RNAcentral describes it as "partial 16S ribosomal RNA". It matches the Rfam family "Bacterial small subunit ribosomal RNA", at positions 339 to 795 of the family's 1533-position model. The record is from RNAcentral.
CUACGGGCCGCUGCAGUGGGGAAUAUUGGACAAUGGGCGCAAGCCUGAUCCAGCAAUGCCGCGUGGGUGAAGAAGGCCUUCGGGUUGUAAAGCCCUUUUGUACGGGAAGAAAACCCCUCCGAUAAUACCGGAUGGGAAUGACGGUACCGUAAGAAUAAGCACCGGCGAACUUCGUGCCAGCAGCCGCGGUAAUACGAAGGGUGCAAGCGUUAAUCGGAAUUACUGGGCGUAAAGCGUGCGUAGGCGGUUUCUUAAGUCCGUUGUGAAAGCCCUGGGCUCAACCUGGGAAUUGCAGUGGAUACUGGGAGGCUAGAGUCAGGUAGAGGGUGGUGGAAUUCCCGGUGUAGCGGUGAAAUGCGUAGAGAUCGGGAGGAACAUCCGUGGCGAAGGCGGCCACCUGGACCAUGACUGACGCUGAGGCACGAAAGCGUGGGGAGCAAACAGGAUUAGAUACCCGAGUAGUC